CCUACGGGAGGCAGCAGUGAGGAAUAUUGGUCAAUGGCCGGAAGGCUGAACCAGCCAAGCCGCGUGAAGGACGAAGGUGCCAAGCAUUGUAAACUUCUUUUGUCAAGGGACAAAAUCAGGCUCGAGAGCCUGACCGAGGGUACUUGAAGAAAAAGCAUCGGCUAACUCCGUGCCAGCAGCCGCGGUAAUACGGAGGAUGCGAGCGUUAUCCGGAUUUAUUGGGGUUAAAGGGUUCGUAGGCGGACUGUUACGUCAGCGGUAAAAGCCCGGGGCUCAACCCCGGCGAGCCGUUGAACCGGGCGGUCUUGAGAUGUCGAGAGGUAUGCGGAAUGCGAAGGGUAGCGGUGAAAUGCUUAGAUAUUGCGCAGAACUCCGAUUGCGAAGGCAGCAUACCGGCGGCGAUCUGACGCUGAGGCACGAAAGCGUGGGUAUCGAACAGGAUUAGAUACCCGAGUAGUC
Molecule: ribosomal RNA, 459 nt
Filed under: uncultured bacterium
Lineage: Bacteria
Description: partial 16S ribosomal RNA
Rfam family: Bacterial small subunit ribosomal RNA
Source: RNAcentral